AGUACCCUGGUGCUGUGAACUUCCCCUGGCUCGCCAGAGCCCUGCAAAAAUAAAUCUCCGGAGAAAUAGAUUUUGAAGAGGAAUUCGGUACAUAGAUCUUCUGUCAGCGGAGCAGACUCUGGUUCAGCCGUUUUUCAGGCUCGCUGAGUAUCCAGAAAUACAUCUAUUUUUACAUGGCUCUCUAGCGAGAGUUCCUCUUGCCUGGAGGGGUAGGAGGCCGUGGAAGGAGUCAGAGGAUGGGAGCGGAGAGGGCUGCGGGGACUGACUGGGACAGGACAGGAAGGUGACCGUGCAAUGCUGGUCUUACUGGGUUUUCCUGCACCCGCAGGUGCCCAUCUGCGGGGCCUUGGGUUUGCCCACCAAGUUUGAGUUUGCCUCGUCGCUACGCAGGCUCUGUGUGUCCCUCGGCCCACCGGACCCAUCUUAGUAACAGGCCUGAUGUCCCUGGAGGAGACAAUACACUAUGGCAGUUUGGCGCGCGCGCACAAAGAGCUGCAGCACCGCCCGGGGCUCGCUGUCGCAGUGAACAGCAGGAGCCACGGACCAGAUGGCUGGAGGGAGGUGCGAGCGGAACGCACUGGCAGGCAAUUAGGCCUCAAACAAUGGCCCGUGAAAUGUCAGAAGUGGCAGGGAAGGGUCGUGGUGGAACAGCGGGGUGACCACCACUCGCAUGAAGAUCAGAGGACUUCUCUCCUUCCACCAUAAGGGGCCAAGAGAUUGAACUCAACUCGUCAGGGUUUGGAGGCAAGAACCGUCAUGUUUAGCAGCAAAGACCUUUACCUACUGAGCCAUCUCCAUAGUCCUACUGACAUAGUUUCAUAAUGAUAAAUGCACUCUACUCGUUGGUGAUGUUUUCAAUUCCAAAAUCGUCUCCCUGUGUGCAUACGUGUGUGUGUGUGUGUGUGUGUGUGUGUGUGUGUGUACUCAUAUGUCUUUUUAUGUACAAAAAGAUGGGUUCCUUCAUGCAAAGUUGGAGUGGUCUGAAUAGAAGAAGAAGAAAGACGACCAGGAGUUACUUCUCUUCUGCCCCCUUGUGGGAUCCUGGAUCAAACUCGGGUUGUCAGGACUGCAUGGCAGUGUCUACCUGCUGAGCUCCUUGCCAGCCCCCUUACCUUUUUCAACAUGUAGAAGACAAGUAUGUGGCUGGUUCUACACAGUGGUGCACAGCAGACAGAAAGAGUUAAGAAGAAGAAGCUAGACUGCAGUUAAGUCCCGCCUUUUAUUUGUUGUUUUGUUUUGUUUUUUGUUUUGAGACAGCCUUUCUCUCUAUAGCCCUGGCUAUCCUGAAACUCACUCUGUAAACCAGGCUGUCUUUGAACUCACAGAGAUCCUCCUGCCUCUGCCUCCUGAGUGCUGGAAUUAAAGAUGUGCACCAUCAUCACCUGGCUUAGUCAUUUCUACCAUUCACUAUUAUUUAGUUAGUAUUAUUUAGUUCCUUGAAUAUGUUGUCUACAAAAAUUCCCCCAAAUAAUUAACUACUUCGUCCUGUGGAAUAAACUUAGGCAGACCUAAGUUUGAAGUCUGUCUACUUAUUACUGGC
This 1540-nucleotide long non-coding RNA is filed under the name Mus pahari (shrew mouse). RNAcentral's name for it is "lncRNA (MGP_PahariEiJ_G0004257.1)". The record is from RNAcentral. Lineage: Eukaryota; Metazoa; Chordata; Mammalia; Rodentia; Muridae.